This is a long non-coding RNA of Bombus impatiens (common eastern bumble bee), 153 nucleotides long. RefSeq lists it as uncharacterized. NCBI's taxonomy places the organism in Eukaryota, Metazoa, Arthropoda, Insecta, Hymenoptera, Apidae. The record is from RefSeq and is a predicted model, not a curated record. The transcript has 3 exons.
CAUGUGUGGAUAAUUUGAACAUUUUCUGCGUCUGAUUUAUCAAGUCUUUCUCCGGGUUUUUUGUGUUGAAACAUUACGUUGGAAGGAUCGAGAGCUAUAAUGGCAAAUACUUAGAGAUUUAGUGUAAUUUACUGUAUCAUUUAGUAUAAUUAG